Molecule: ribosomal RNA, 520 nt
Filed under: uncultured Glomus
Lineage: Eukaryota; Fungi; Glomeromycota; Glomeromycetes; Glomerales; Glomeraceae
Description: SSU rRNA
Rfam family: Eukaryotic small subunit ribosomal RNA
Source: RNAcentral
AGCAGCCGCGGUAAUUCCAGCUCCAAUAGCGUAUAUUAAAGUUGUUGCAGUUAAAAAGCUCGUAGUUGAAUUUCGGGAUCAGUAGGUUGGUCAUGCCUUUGGUAUGUACUGGCCUCACUGAUUCCUCCCUCUUGAAGAACUGUAAUGUUAUUAAUUUGGUGUUGCGGGGAAUCAGGACUGUUACUUUGAAAAAAUUAGAGUGUUUAAAGCAGGCUUACGCUUGAAUACAUUAGCAUGGAAUAAUGAAAUAGGACGUUUGAUCCUAUUUUGUUGGUUUCUAGGAUUGACGUAAUGAUUAAUAGGGAUAGUUGGGGGCAUUAGUAUUCAAUUGUCAGAGGUGAAAUUCUUGGAUUUAUUGAAGACUAACUACUGCGAAAGCAUUUUGCCAAGGAUGUUUUCAUUAAUCAAGAACGAAAGUUAGGGGAUCGAAGACGAUCAGAUACCGUCGUAGUCUUAACCAUAAACUAUGCCGACUAGGGAUCGGAUGAUGUUAAUUUUUUAAUGACUCAUUCGGCGCCUU